Molecule: long non-coding RNA, 804 nt
Organism: Gallus gallus (chicken)
Lineage: Eukaryota; Metazoa; Chordata; Aves; Galliformes; Phasianidae
Source: Ensembl
UGCAGAGGUUGUAAUGCGCAGUGUUGCUCUUAAGAUCUGCUCUCUUGAUUUAACAACUCCGCAUUGCUAGCUCACCCAUAGGCAUCUGUGAGCUAUGCCCACCACCCCAAUGCAGCUUUCUCAAACUACAUGAUUCCUAAAAGUGAACAGAAUGAAUGGUUGGUUGAAAUAGAAAAACAAGAAAAUGGAAGCCUUCAUUUUUAGACAGUCCCUGUAGGACAGCAGAAGAAAACAUAUUGCUCUUUAGUUGGCAUCCUGCCUUUACUGAUGAGAUGUUAGCAGUUCCCAAGAAGAAGAAAAUCCAUAUGCCAAAGGAAGCUGUGGGCUCAAUUUCUAUGGAAGAAGAGUGUUGGAUGAAGCAUGGAAACAGGUAGCAGCACACUGAGACAGCAUACACCUAUGGUACUGCUGAGCAAUGAAAAUUACUUCAACGCUUUGAAUGCUUCAGACACUGGAAUAUUUUGGGCUAUCAAAACAGAAUACAACAGUCAUGAUCAGAAGCAUUUUUCUUUAGCAUGAAAGAAACACAGAACAAGCAAUGGAUGUUCGUGGAAAAUUCCAGACACCAACUAGAUCUGGAUACAAUUGAUAAAGAGGACAAAGAACUAAUGGCAUGGAUUUAAUGGAUCAAGUUUCUCUUCUGCAGUUCAUCUCUUCGUUAAUGGCCCAUGAAAAGUGAAGACAAGAGAUUUGGACCAAAGAGCUGCCAGAGACUAAACCAAGCAUUACCUCUUGAAGGAUUGUAUCAUUGAUGCUUUAAAUUAAAACUUUAUUGCCAUUGUAAAAUGUCUGUGAGUUACCCAG